Molecule: non-coding RNA, 145 nt
Organism: Gossypium raimondii (Peruvian cotton)
Lineage: Eukaryota; Viridiplantae; Streptophyta; Magnoliopsida; Malvales; Malvaceae
Source: Rfam
UCUUCAAAAUUCCGUUCAUUUUUACCAUUAAAAACUGGUUUGACUGAUAGAAUAAUUACACAAUUACACGUGGCGAGCCAUAUGCAACUUAUUUUGAAGUAUAGUGACUAGUUUUUAAUAGUAGAAAUAGAUGAAAUUUUUAAAA